UAUAUAUAUAUAUAUAUAUAUAUAUAUAUAUAUAUAUAUAUAUAUAGUAGGGCUAGAAUAUUUGUAAAAGUAUCAUGGGGGUGAUACUUGUGUACUUGUAGCCUUUGGAUGGAGAGAUGUGAGGUUGAGAUGAUGGUGAUAGGUGGUGAUAGGUGGAAUAGUGUUUAAUUCAAGGGCUAUUAAUAAUCAAAAAGUAGAUCCAAUGGUUUAAAACCUAAUAGCACCAUGAUGGUGAUACUUGUAAAAGUAUCAUAGCUCAACUAUAUAUAUAUAUAUAUAUAUAUAUAUAUAUAGAGUGAGGCUACUAUGCUAUCUGAAGGCCUUCCGUGCUUCCAGCUUGUUUUUGAUGUUGCGACUUUCGAAUCGUCGAUCGGCUCCGUUAAACUUGAUCUAGAGUAUUUGGAGUACCUAGAAAAUACAUUUUAUUAUUUUUCGAUAUCAUUUGCCUAGUGAUUGAAUGUGCUCAAAAUCAACAAAUUUCAAUAGCCGUAGUGAGCCGUUUGCAAGUUUAACGGUGCAGAAAUAUCCAAAUCACGUGAAAUUUUGAUAUAAAAUUCUUUAUACUAUAUAAAACAAUAUCAAUAUCUUUGAUUUAAAAUUUUAAUGUCAUAUUAUUACAUUUUGUAAGAUUUUUAUUUUCAACCGUUGAUUUUGA
Molecule: long non-coding RNA, 655 nt
Filed under: Ananas comosus (pineapple)
Lineage: Eukaryota; Viridiplantae; Streptophyta; Magnoliopsida; Poales; Bromeliaceae
Description: long non-coding RNA (ACOM_LNC037605)
Source: RNAcentral